Molecule: ribosomal RNA, 446 nt
Filed under: uncultured bacterium
Lineage: Bacteria
Description: bacterial SSU rRNA
Rfam family: Bacterial small subunit ribosomal RNA
Source: RNAcentral
GCCAGACUCCUACGGGAGGCAGCAGUCGGGAAUAUUGCGCAAUGGAGGAAACUCUGACGCAGUGACGCCGCGUAUAGGAAGAAGGUUUUCGGAUUGUAAACUAUUGUCGUUAGGGAAGGAAAAAGACAGUACCUAAGGAGGAAGCUCCGGCUAACUACGUGCCAGCAGCCGCGGUAAUACGUAGGGAGCGAGCGUUAUCCGGAUUUAUUGGGUGUAAAGGGUGCGUAGACGGGUUAGCAAGUUAGUUGUGAAAUCCCUCGGCUUAACUGAGGAACUGCAACUAAAACUGCCAAUCUUGAGUGCAGGAGAGGUAAGUGGAAUUCCUAGUGUAGCGGUGAAAUGCGUAGAUAUUAGGAGGAACACCAGUGGCGAAGGCGUCUUACUGGACCGAAACUGACGUUGAGGCUCGAAAGCGUGGGGAGCAAACAGGAUUAGAUACCCCAGUA